AGCGUACACGGUGGAUGCCCUGGCAGUCAGAGGCGAUGAAGGACGUGCUAAUCUGCGAUAAGCGUCGGUAAGGUGAUAUGAACCGUUAUAACCGGCGAUUUCCGAAUGGGGAAACCCAGUGUGUUUCGACACACUAUCAUUAACUGAAUCCAUAGGUUAAUGAGGCGAACCGGGGGAACUGAAACAUCUAAGUACCCCGAGGAAAAGAAAUCAACCGAGAUUCCCCCAGUAGCGGCGAGCGAACGGGGAGGAGCCCAGAGCCUGAAUCAGUGUGUGUGUUAGUGGAAGCGUCUGGAAAGGCGCGCGAUACAGGGUGACAGCCCCGUACACAAAAAUGCACAUGCUGUGAGCUCGAUGAGUAGGGCGGGACACGUGGUAUCCUGUCUGAAUAUGGGGGGACCAUCCUCCAAGGCUAAAUACUCCUGACUGACCGAUAGUGAACCAGUACCGUGAGGGAAAGGCGAAAAGAACCCCGGCGAGGGGAGUGAAAAAGAACCUGAAACCGUGUACGUACAAGCAGUGGGAGCCUCUUUAUGGGGUGACUGCGUACCUUUUGUAUAAUGGGUCAGCGACUUAUAUUCUGUAGCAAGGUUAACCGAAUAGGGGAGCCGAAGGGAAACCGAGUCUUAACUGGGCGUUAAGUUGCAGGGUAUAGACCCGAAACCCGGUGAUCUAGCCAUGGGCAGGUUGAAGGUUGGGUAACACUAACUGGAGGACCGAACCGACUAAUGUUGAAAAAUUAGCGGAUGACUUGUGGCUGGGGGUGAAAGGCCAAUCAAACCGGGAGAUAGCUGGUUCUCCCCGAAAGCUAUUUAGGUAGCGCCUCGUGAAUUCAUCUCCGGGGGUAGAGCACUGUUUCGGCAAGGGGGUCAUCCCGACUUACCAACCCGAUGCAAACUGCGAAUACCGGAGAAUGUUAUCACGGGAGACACACGGCGGGUGCUAACGUCCGUCGUGAAGAGGGAAACAACCCAGACCGCCAGCUAAGGUCCCAAAGUCAUGGUUAAGUGGGAAACGAUGUGGGAAGGCCCAGACAGCCAGGAUGUUGGCUUAGAAGCAGCCAUCAUUUAAAGAAAGCGUAAUAGCUCACUGGUCGAGUCGGCCUGCGCGGAAGAUGUAACGGGGCUAAACCAUGCACCGAAGCUGCGGCAGCGACGCUUAUGCGUUGUUGGGUAGGGGAGCGUUCUGUAAGCCUGUGAAGGUGUGCUGUGAGGCAUGCUGGAGGUAUCAGAAGUGCGAAUGCUGACAUAAGUAACGAUAAAGCGGGUGAAAAGCCCGCUCGCCGGAAGACCAAGGGUUCCUGUCCAACGUUAAUCGGGGCAGGGUGAGUCGACCCCUAAGGCGAGGCCGAAAGGCGUAGUCGAUGGGAAACAGGUUAAUAUUCCUGUACUUGGUGUUACUGCGAAGGGGGGACGGAGAAGGCUAUGUUGGCCGGGCGACGGUUGUCCCGGUUUAAGCGUGUAGGCUGGUUUUCCAGGUAAAUCCGGAAAAUCAAGGCUGAGGCGUGAUGACGAGGCACUACGGUGCUGAAGCAACAAAUGCCCUGCUUCCAGGAAAAGCCUCUAAGCAUCAGGUAACAUCAAAUCGUACCCCAAACCGACACAGGUGGUCAGGUAGAGAAUACCAAGGCGCUUGAGAGAACUCGGGUGAAGGAACUAGGCAAAAUGGUGCCGUAACUUCGGGAGAAGGCACGCUGAUAUGUAGGUGAAGUCCCUCGCGGAUGGAGCUGAAAUCAGUCGAAGAUACCAGCUGGCUGCAACUGUUUAUUAAAAACACAGCACUGUGCAAACACGAAAGUGGACGUAUACGGUGUGACGCCUGCCCGGUGCCGGAAGGUUAAUUGAUGGGGUUAGCGCAAGCGAAGCUCUUGAUCGAAGCCCCGGUAAACGGCGGCCGUAACUAUAACGGUCCUAAGGUAGCGAAAUUCCUUGUCGGGUAAGUUCCGACCUGCACGAAUGGCGUAAUGAUGGCCAGGCUGUCUCCACCCGAGACUCAGUGAAAUUGAACUCGCUGUGAAGAUGCAGUGUACCCGCGGCAAGACGGAAAGACCCCGUGAACCUUUACUAUAGCUUGACACUGAACAUUGAGCCUUGAUGUGUAGGAUAGGUGGGAGGCUUUGAAGUGUGGACGCCAGUCUGCAUGGAGCCGACCUUGAAAUACCACCCUUUAAUGUUUGAUGUUCUAACGUUGACCCGUAAUCCGGGUUGCGGACAGUGUCUGGUGGGUAGUUUGACUGGGGCGGUCUCCUCCUAAAGAGUAACGGAGGAGCACGAAGGUUGGCUAAUCCUGGUCGGACAUCAGGAGGUUAGUGCAAUGGCAUAAGCCAGCUUGACUGCGAGCGUGACGGCGCGAGCAGGUGCGAAAGCAGGUCAUAGUGAUCCGGUGGUUCUGAAUGGAAGGGCCAUCGCUCAACGGAUAAAAGGUACUCCGGGGAUAACAGGCUGAUACCGCCCAAGAGUUCAUAUCGACGGCGGUGUUUGGCACCUCGAUGUCGGCUCAUCACAUCCUGGGGCUGAAGUAGGUCCCAAGGGUAUGGCUGUUCGCCAUUUAAAGUGGUACGCGAGCUGGGUUUAGAACGUCGUGAGACAGUUCGGUCCCUAUCUGCCGUGGGCGCUGGAGAACUGAGGGGGGCUGCUCCUAGUACGAGAGGACCGGAGUGGACGCAUCACUGGUGUUCGGGUUGUCAUGCCAAUGGCACUGCCCGGUAGCUAAAUGCGGAAGAGAUAAGUGCUGAAAGCAUCUAAGCACGAAACUUGCCCCGAGAUGAGUUCU
This 2772-nucleotide ribosomal RNA is filed under the name Escherichia coli. RNAcentral describes it as "bacterial LSU rRNA". It matches the Rfam family "Bacterial large subunit ribosomal RNA". Lineage: Bacteria; Pseudomonadati; Pseudomonadota; Gammaproteobacteria; Enterobacterales; Enterobacteriaceae. The record is from RNAcentral.